AGUUCAGAUUGCAGGCUGCAACUGCCUGCAUGAAGUUGGAAUUGCUAGUAAUCGCGAAUCAGAAUGUCGCGGUGAAUACGUUCCCGGGCCUUGUACACACCGCCCGUCACACCAUGAGAGUCGGGAACACCCGAAGUCCGUAGUCUAACCCGCAAGGGAGGGCGCGGCCGAAGGUGGGUCCGGUAAUUGGGGUGAAGUCGUAACAAGGUACC
RNAcentral lists this ribosomal RNA (212 nucleotides) under uncultured bacterium. Its description in RNAcentral is "partial 16S ribosomal RNA". It matches the Rfam family "Bacterial small subunit ribosomal RNA", at positions 1290 to 1500 of the family's 1533-position model. The record is from RNAcentral.